This 280-nucleotide small RNA is filed under the name Vigna angularis var. angularis. RNAcentral describes it as "Non-protein coding transcript". The record is from RNAcentral. Lineage: Eukaryota; Viridiplantae; Streptophyta; Magnoliopsida; Fabales; Fabaceae.
UUUCAUGCAAUGGAACGUUGGGUUUGAAACAAGUUCCGUCUUGGCCGCAAGAUUGGUGGCGGAUCCUUCGGCGAGAUCUAUCUCGGGGUGAAUACACAGACAGAUGAAGAGGUUGCAAUUAAGGGUUCUGCUGCUGGACCAAGUUCUGGGGUGCCGCCAGCUGUUGUAAAUGCUGAGAGACAGACUGCUAUAUUUUUCUUUCCUUUUCACUUCUAUGUCCCAGUUCUAUGGUUCCUUACCUAGCUCUUAAAUCUUACUUGUUGCUGUUCUUACUUUUAUU